This 614-nucleotide long non-coding RNA is filed under the name Vitis vinifera (wine grape). Its description in RNAcentral is "long non-coding RNA (VVIN_LNC006129)". Lineage: Eukaryota; Viridiplantae; Streptophyta; Magnoliopsida; Vitales; Vitaceae. The record is from RNAcentral.
UGCUUGAAUUGGUUCAUAAGCUGAUGAAAAACAUGUAAACUUGCCACUAAAAAUGGUUAGAACUAAUUACUAAGGAGCUUAAUGAAUUAAUUGGGUUAAAUGAAUAUGAUUACUACUCAAAGGUGCUUAAAACCCUUAUAAUUAGGUCUACAAAAUAGCACUUUUCGGUAGUAAUCACACCCCCCAACCGACUCAUUGCUAGUCCCUUAGCAAUGGAGGAGAUAAAAACUAAGCAAACAUAAUAAUAUACAUAAAAGAGGUCAUGCAAAUCACUCCAAAAAAUAAUUGAGUGGCAUGACUGAUAUCAAAACACAUCUCACAUGGUGAACUAAAGAUAUGAAGAUUCAAAAUGCAAUAGGAGUUGUCAAAGCUAAAACUUAAACAAAAAGUACAAAGAGUGGAGAUUAUGCAAUUAAGUAUCAAAAGAAUCUCUACUCUCAAGGUUCCGAAUCAAACUCUUCCAUAAUGAGCUAAGUGUUAAUGAGAUUAGCUUCCGGAUAUAGUAUGUACAACUAUCCUCUCCCCCCAACCUAAGCUUUUCUCGAACUUUGGCAAAAUUAACCAACUCUUAAUAGGUUAGGAACGCACCUUUUUAUUCACAAUUCUUUUUACUC